Alligator sinensis (Chinese alligator) is the source of this 687-nucleotide long non-coding RNA. RefSeq lists it as uncharacterized. Lineage: Eukaryota; Metazoa; Chordata; Crocodylia; Alligatoridae. The record is from RefSeq and is a predicted model, not a curated record. The transcript is spliced from 3 exons.
GGAAGCAGCAAUGGGAGGAAGCUUUGCUGUGAAUCAGUUGCUACUGAUGACUCCCUGGGAGGGAGCCUUGAGAGCAACCCAAGGGCCCUGAUUCAGGGCCCGGAAGAAGGGUGGAAGUUUCCAUCAAGACGUGGCAGAAGAGGAAGCAAGGUGGGACCCUGAGAGACAGGCCAGAGAGAGAGAGAGAGCUUGGCAGGGAUGACGGGCAGUCCAGGUUGCAGCAGGGAGCUGCAGCUGAACUCAGAGCUGCAUCCAGCAGCGAGAUGCCUCGGCCAUGGGCAACAUGCUACCAAACUACAGAGAAGAAAAAGACAGCAUCUGCCCCCAAAGAAUUUACCGUUGACAUCAUUUUGCUCCAUGCUAUGGAGGCUUUUGUGAGUUUAUUUGGACCAUACACAUUUGUAUUUGUAAAUAUGGAAACAAAAGCUUUAGUUUCAGCUGAGAGACUAUUCCCCUAGUGCAGGCACUAAGGAAGACGGCAAUAAAGCUAUAAGAUGUAUGCUGAGGACACAGCAGGACCACAUUUUGCAUCAGUGCAGAGGUUCUUAAUAAAGCUGUUGCUCACAGACCUCUGGGGACCAGCUGCCAUAAGGUCUGCCUGCCUCCAGGUGUGUUUAACUUAUACCAAAGGCCACUCAAGCACUUGGAGCAGCCCAAGACUGAGUGGAAGUAAAGGAGAUUUUAAAU